UCGGGAAACGGCCUGGAGGCCGGCGGUUCUAGCUUGCCGCCCCUCUCUCUCUCUCUCUCUCUCUCUCAAUCGCCGACGGUGCCGUUCUUCGUUUGCUUCUUCCUUCUUUUGGGGUGCGAUCAUGGGGAACGUCAGGAGCAGGCCGGAGUCGAUUGAGCAGUGGAGACGCCAUGGAAGCAGGACGAGAGCGAGUCUUCCGUCGCAGGCCCUCGAUUCAGGUCCUGCUCUGGUUUCAGGUACACCGCAACAGGCAGAGGAACUUGAGAUAUGUUAUGACGACAUCGAAUCCAGUCCACCUGAAGACAGCAGAACGGUCCUUAUGCGUGGGGGUUUAGGACUGAUGGAGACUCCGGAGGUCACGCAGUGGCAGAGUUUCACAGAGAUUUACUUGAUGGAAAAUCAGUUGACUGAGUUACCCGAGGAUCCUCCUCUUUGUCCUCUACUUUUGGUAUUGUUUCUGAAUAGAAAUUACAAGCUCAGAACAAUUAGUCCCUCUUUCUUUGAUUACAUGCCUGCUCUGGAAAUCCUGAAUUUAUCCAGAACUCGGAUCAAGUCCUUGUCGGAGUCUCUGUUCAGGUUAAGCCGCCUAAAAAGACUAUUCUUAAAUCACUGUGAGCUAUUGAGUGUGUUACCUCCACAAAUUGGAGAACUUCAGCAGCUUGAGGUACUUGAUCUUGAAGGGACUGAGAUCAUGGAUCUGCCAAAGGAGGUUGCGAAGCUAACAAAACUCACUUGCUUAGAAGUAUCUUUUUGUCCACGUGUCAAUCGUGGCACCAAAUCUGCGAAAGCAAAUGCAUUGAUUCCUCAAGGCACUAUUUCUGCGCUAUUGCGAUUAGAAGAGCUAAGUAUUGAUGUAAAUCCAGAGGACGAGAGGUGGGAGAGUGUUGUGGAAGCUGUUGUUGACGACGUUUGUGGCUUGCUGAGGCUGGACACACUUAAACUGUACUUUCCUCAAGUGGGCUAUCUGAGGAAAUUCAAAUGGUUUGGUACAUCAGAGGUGUCUAGAUCAUUGUCCCAUUUCAAAUUCAUUGUUGGCAAUCAUGAUGAACGCAUCAUGUCUCGUCUCCCAGCGGAUCUUGAGUUUGAGUUAGAACACUGGGAUAAAUCCCUGAAAUAUGUACAUGGUGUGGGUGUGCCCAUAGAUAUCCAGAAGAUGCUCCGGCAUACUACUGCAUUUUUCUUAGACCGCCAUAUGAAUGUCACGAAGCUAUCUGAUUUUGGGAUUGAGAACAUGGAGCAACUGAAAUGCUGCAUAAUUGGGGAGUGUAAUGAGAUUCAGGUUAUUAUUGAUGGAACUGACGUGUACAAUGAAGGUGAUAGAAGUGAAAUUGUUUUGGGAACAUGGGAGGAUGAUGGGAGGUUCCUUGGAUCACUUGAGUGUCUCUACGUAUAUCGUAUGAAGAGAUUGAGGAGCAUUUAUGAGGGGCCGCUGCACCGAGGAUGCUUGUCUCAUCUUAAAUGCUUGACCUUACUCACAUGUCGUCGGUUGACCACUAUAUUCACACCUGGCCUACUGGUAAACCUUGAUAGCUUAGAAGAGCUCAAAGUCGAAGACUGCCCCCUUGUCUCAAGUUUAGUGAGGUGUGAAGAUGCUUCUAUUUACGAGAGUACUUACUUCCUCUGCAACUUGAAAAGGAUAUCCCUAUCCUCAUUGCCUGAACUCAUUAGCAUUUCCAAUGGUUUACGCAUUGCACCAAACUUGGAACGAUUGAGCAUUACUGAUUGUCCAAAUCUCGAGAGUCCAUCAACUGAUGAAAUCUGUUGCAAUCAUCUGGCAGGGACUGAAGCACAAAGUAUUCCAAAUGAUGCAAGCAGAGAGCAGCCUUCUCCUCGUGUGGUUUCAUCUACAAUCACUGGUAAUGCAGACCCUUCAACUUCUCAACUCAAAAGGGAACCUAAAGUUGCUCCUCGGUUGUUGAAAUUCAAAUUUAAUGAUCUUAAGUUAGCUGCAAGAAACUUUAGUGCUGCAAGUCUUCUUGGUAAAGGUGGUUUUGGCUGUGUACGUGGAUUUACAAAUGAGGCAAUUAUAGUCGCUCCUCAGCUGCGGAAAUUUUCAUUAAAUGAUCUUAAGUUAGCUACAAGAAACUUCAGUCCCGAGGCUCUGCUCGGUGAAGGCGGUUCUGGCCAUGUUUUUAAGGGUUGGAUUGAAGAAAAUGGGACUGCUCCUGGGAAGCCUGGCACUGGGCUGGCUGUUGCUGUUAAGACUCUCAAGCUUAAUGGGUAUAUGGGUCAUGAAGAAUGGCUGGCUGAAGUGAGUUUGCUUGGUCAUCUACAGCAUCCAAAUUUGGUAAAGUUAAUUGGAUACUGCGUGAAAGUCGACCAAAGGCUGCUAAUAUAUGAGUAUAUGCAAGGAGGGAGUUUGAAGGAUCACCUCUUUGAAACAACUUUGCCUCUCACUUGGUCUAUCAGGAUGAAAAUAGCGCUGGAUGCUGCAAAGAUUCUUGCUUUUCUUCAUGAGGAGGCAGAACCGCAAUUGAUAUUUCGUAAUUUUAAAACUUCCAAGAUUCUAUUAGAUGACGACUACAAUGUCAAGCUUUCUGGUUUCGGACUUGCAAAAAUUGUUCCCAAGGGAGAUGACUCUCUCUCCACCACCGGUGUCAGUGGAACACUUGGCUAUAUGGACCCGGAAUACAUAAUGACUGGUAUGUAUUUGUUAGUACGAGCAAUCUGAUGAUGAGAAAUGUGCAAGUAACCUGCAAAAGAAGUGGUUUGAGAAAUAUUUUUGACAUGUCAAAUUAUCCUAUAGUAUUAAAAAGUAGAGAACAGCCCCAAUCGACACACCUCAUGCACAAGAUGUGCACCAAUUAUGAUUAGGAACUGAAUUGAAUAAGGUAGAUAUCAAUCGUGACCAAAGACAAGAAAAUUAGAGGGACAGUUAUGCACUGAUAAACCUUCUUUUCAUUAGGUGCAACAUAUCUCUGGUCUGUCCUCAUAUAUGGUCACAAUUUGCAGGAAUAGUACAAUCAACUGUUCUUGCACAUUAUGCUUAAGUUACUUUUUUCUGUUUGAGUCCCGCAUGUGGUCUCCCAAAUGAUGUUAUUCCCUUAUCUUCCAGUCCCCCGCAAAUUCAAUCAUUGAAUGGAUUAUAUUGCAUAUAUCUUGCUUGAACUUCUGGAACAUUACGCUCAGCAUAGCUUGUGGAAUGACUGAUUGGUACUCAUUAGUCAUUACCUGCAUUCCUUUUCUAUAUUAGAGGCAUCUCUCAAUUGUUGUUUCCUCCGAGUAUAAUAUAGGGGUGUCUUUCUCAUGUUUUUUGCCUGGGAGGAACCUGGACAAUUUUCUGGACCCUCAUGAGCUAGUGUUCCUAGGUGAUCUGGAUUUACUUUUCUGCGGUAUGCACAGGCUUUGUUAAUGAUAUGUACUGAUUACAAAUACAUAAAAGUUGGAUCUUGAGGGUAUCCAUGUUAAUCACGCGUUGCUGGCAAGUCAUUUUUUGUUUUGUUGUACUUUUUUUUGGUCGGUAUUAUUCUUUUUAAUCCACGAUGGAAUGUCCGCUUCGCCCUUUGAACUCCUGAUUAAUCGGUGCUUUUUGAUAUGAUGCACAACCAGUGAUUACUGAAACACAGAUUUAUAAUUAGGUUCUUUCUGUAUAUGUUUUUAUGUGCUUUAAUGCUACAUGUCCAAAGGAUUCUUGGUUCCGAAUGAAGUAUCUAGGUUUCUUCAUGUAGCUGGUUAAUUUCCACCAAGUGUGGUAGUCGUCCGUCCUACACGCACUACAUAAUUACCGAAAAACGUAAAUCAAACUAGGUAUCAUUCGAUCCUUUGUUUUAUGUUGUUUAGGGCUACAUAUUGUACAUCAUGAUUUGUUUUCUUGUUAUACUUUCCUAUUUAUCAUUUACAAGUAGCAUAGUUUUACUUUGAAAUCAUUAAAACGGCAGUUGAUUUAUCUUAUACAUCUAUUGAAUUAAGAGUUGAAACUUUAUCCUUUUUUAUAUUUAGAUAUUUCCUUAUAAAUUUCAUUGAAGGCAAUGCAUUAAAAAGCAUUCACUAUGUUUAUCGCAAUUGAGAUGAUUAUGACUUGGCAAUUUCUAACAACAGGUAUCAUUCUGAAUUGACAGAAUAAUUAGUUUAUGUUUAUCAUGUUAUAAAUUACUACCUCGUUGUAGCAAAUACCUUGACAUGACGGUCCAUGAUUGACGUAUGUUAUGAUGACAAGAGAUACAACAUUGUACUUCAGAAUUGCCAUCUUCUAUAAUAUCAUAAUUUGGGCUUUAGUACACUUUUAUGCCACUAAUUAUUUUGUUGAUUUCAUAACUAAUACUAAUAGCUUUCUAUCCGCAACAACGCGCUUGGUGCUUACCUUUUAUUAUCAUAAGAAAAAUAGAGGUGAUGGAAGGACAGAGA
Syzygium oleosum is the source of this 4344-nucleotide RNA transcript. RefSeq lists it as uncharacterized. The record is from RefSeq and is a predicted model, not a curated record. Lineage: Eukaryota; Viridiplantae; Streptophyta; Magnoliopsida; Myrtales; Myrtaceae. The transcript is spliced from 7 exons.